UGAGCCAGCUGGGUAAACGCGAGGGCACCGAACUGCCCUGCUUAACGCAGGGAAAGCGGUCCUUCGAGGAAAGUCCGGACUCCAUAGAGCACGGUGGUUGCUAACAGCAACCCGGGGCAACCCGCGGGAAAGUGCAACAGAAAGCAGACCGCCCAGCGCGCUGGGUAAGGGUGAAACGGUGCGUUAAGAGCGCACCAGCACCGUCAGUGAUGGCGGUGGCUGGGUAAACCCCACCGGGAGCAAGGCAAAAGGGUCCGCCACGGCGCGGACCGGAUCAGGCGCUAGUAGGCUGCUCGUCGAAGCCUGGAGGUAGCUGCUGGAACCCACCGGCGACGGUGGGUCUAGAUGGAUGUUUACCGGCCCGCGCACUGUGUGCGGGUGUCACAGAAUCCGGCUUAUAGGCUGACUCAUUCG
Molecule: RNase P RNA, 414 nt
Filed under: Corynebacterium lizhenjunii
Lineage: Bacteria; Bacillati; Actinomycetota; Actinomycetes; Mycobacteriales; Corynebacteriaceae
Description: Bacterial RNase P class A
Rfam family: Bacterial RNase P class A
About the family: Ribonuclease P (RNase P) is a ubiquitous endoribonuclease, found in archaea, bacteria and eukarya as well as chloroplasts and mitochondria. Its best characterised activity is the generation of mature 5'-ends of tRNAs by cleaving the 5'-leader elements of precursor-tRNAs.
Source: Rfam by way of RNAcentral